RNAcentral lists this ribosomal RNA (253 nucleotides) under uncultured bacterium. Its description in RNAcentral is "partial 16S ribosomal RNA". It matches the Rfam family "Bacterial small subunit ribosomal RNA", at positions 524 to 776 of the family's 1533-position model. The record is from RNAcentral.
UACAGAGGGUGCGAGCGUUAAUCGGAAUUACUGGGCGUAAAGCGCGCGCAGGCGGCUUUGCAAGCCGGAUGUGAAAUCCCCGGGCUUAACCUGGGAACUGCAUUCGGGACUGCAUUGCUAGAGUAUGGGAGAGGGAAGUGGAAUUUCAGGUGUAGCGGUGAAAUGCGUAGAUAUCUGAAGGAACAUCAGUGGCGAAAGCGACUUCCUGGACCAAUACUGACGCUCAUGUGCGAAAGCGUGGGGAGCAAACAGG